RNAcentral lists this long non-coding RNA (488 nucleotides) under Mytilus galloprovincialis (Mediterranean mussel). Lineage: Eukaryota; Metazoa; Mollusca; Bivalvia; Mytilida; Mytilidae. The record is from RNAcentral.
UUUUGCCAGGAACGUCAAUGUAACGUAUAUAUAUUUAAUUUUCCAUAGACUAAAAGUUAAGCAUUUUUGAGUCUUAAGCAUUUGACACGUUCUGUUGAAUGAUAUAUUUUUGGGAGAGAGUUUUCAAAUAUUUAUUCUAAAAUGUAAUAAAUCAACAAGAAAUUUGACUUCCAUCAGUGUUUUGUAAACCAUGUGCUGAUCUUAAAGGCGUCGAAGUUUUUGAUAAAUGAUAUAUGUUUUCUAUAAUACCGAACCUUUCGACUUUGGGACCUUUAGUAAAAGAUAUGUUUCUGCUAGUGCGAAUGUUUGUUGCAUACACUAACAGUUAUUUCCACGCAUCCGACAAACUGACGCAUGUGAAAAAUACUGAUCCUAAUUCAAGGACUGUUGAUCACUUUUUAAUCUUAAUAAAAUGAGCAAUUUCAAACUGCCGUUUUCUUUCCAAAAGCUGAGAAUGAAAUUGAAAUUAUAGAUCAAGCAAACAGAGG